Molecule: ribosomal RNA, 497 nt
Filed under: uncultured bacterium
Lineage: Bacteria
Description: partial 16S ribosomal RNA
Rfam family: Bacterial small subunit ribosomal RNA
Source: RNAcentral
GAUGAACGCUGGCGGCGUGCUUAACACAUGCAAGUCGAACGAAGCACUCUAUUUGAUUUUCUUCGGAAUUGAAGAUUUUGUGACUGAGUGGCGGACGGGUGAGUAACGCGUGGGUAACCUGCCUCAUACAGGGGGAUAACAGUUGGAAACGACUGCUAAUACCGCAUAAGCGCACGGUAUUGCAUGAUACAGUGUGAAAAACUCCGGUGGUAUGAGAUGGACCCGCGUCUGAUUAGCGAGUUGGUGGGGUAACGGCCUACCAAGGCGACGAUCAGUAGCCGACCUGAGAGGGUGACCGGCCACAGUGGGACUGAGACACGGCCCAAACUCCUACGGGAGGCAGCAGUGGGGAAUAUUGCACAAUGGGGGAAACCCUGAUGCAGCGACGCCGCGUGAACGAAGAAGUAUUUCGGUAUGUAAAGUUCUAUCAGCAGGGAAGAUAAUGACGGUACCUGACUAAGAAGCACCGGCUAAAUACGUGCCAGCCGCCGCGGUAA